This 233-nucleotide long non-coding RNA is filed under the name Polistes fuscatus (common paper wasp). RNAcentral's name for it is "uncharacterized LOC122523927". The record is from RNAcentral. Lineage: Eukaryota; Metazoa; Arthropoda; Insecta; Hymenoptera; Vespidae.
AUAUAGAAUAAUAAUUAUAAUAAUAAUAAUUAUUAUUAUCAUUAUCUACUACGUAUUAUCAUAAACUUAUCUCGCAAUUUUUUAUUGAUUCGCGUUAUCUAUAAAACCUCUUACUCUUCUUAUCCAUAAGAGAACAAAAGAGAAGAGUGUAGAACCAUUUUGAAAACAUACACCCAGAGAUAUCCUAUGCACAUGCAGCAGAGAUGCAAUACGAAUCUAAACUGCAUAGACAA